Non-coding RNA from Apiotrichum porosum, 99 nucleotides. The record is from the annotation of a RefSeq genome assembly. NCBI's taxonomy places the organism in Eukaryota, Fungi, Basidiomycota, Tremellomycetes, Trichosporonales, Trichosporonaceae.
GCCUCGUUAUAUCAGUCGGUAGAUAGUUUGGCUUUUACUCUUGCCCCUCUUGGGCAAUGAGUGACCAAAACGUCACGGGUUCGAGCCCCGUACGAGGCU